Molecule: ribosomal RNA, 433 nt
Filed under: uncultured bacterium
Lineage: Bacteria
Description: partial 16S ribosomal RNA
Rfam family: Bacterial small subunit ribosomal RNA
Source: RNAcentral
AACGAACGCUGGCGGCAUGCCUAACACAUGCAAGUCGAACGAGACCUUCGGGUCUAGUGGCGCACGGGUGCGUAACGCGUGGGAACCUGCCCUUAGGUUCGGAAUAACUCCCCGAAAGGGGUGCUAAUACCGGAUAAUGUCUUCGGACCAAAGAUUUAUCGCCUUUGGAUGGGCCCGCGUUGGAUUAGCUAGUUGGUAGGGUAAAAGCCUACCAAGGCGACGAUCCAUAGCUGGUCUGAGAGGAUGAUCAGCCACACUGGGACUGAGACACGGCCCAGACUCCUACGGGUGGCAGCAGUGGGGAAUAUUGGACAAUGGGCGAAAGCCUGAUCCAGCAAUGCCGCGUGAGUGAUGAAGGCCUUAGGGUUGUAAAGCUCUUUUACCCGGGAUGAUAAUGACAGUACCGGGAGAAUAAGCUCCGGCUAACUCCGUG